UUUAACUGAUGAGGAUGAAGAGAAUGAGUAAAUGCAUCAGAUGCUAUUAAAAGACAGGCUGUCUGAACAGCACAUAAAACAAGCAAAGUGGAUGGACUAAGGAAAAAAAAAUUGGAAGAGAAGAAUGGGGUGCCAUUAAAAGAUACAGUUCUGAAAAGUAGGAGGAUGUUCUAAAACAAGCAAAAGGACUGGAUGAGCUGAAACAAAAAAUAUGGAAAAAAAGGAAGGAGGAGGCAAAAGACAAAGAUUUGGGCAGGCAAAGUGUUCUCUUGACAGACGAUUCCAGGAUAACUACUCCCAGGAGAGCGGGAAGUUAUGCAUAUAUAGUAGGACUAGUGGAUCUGGCUGAAAGUACAUUUAGAGAACAUUUCCUGGGCCUUUCUUGGAUUAUCAAACAAAAAAUCAAAUGUCCUUGGAUUAUCAAAAAACUUUCAAAAGACAAGCGCAACCUGCACAAAAAUGU
Lingula anatina is the source of this 463-nucleotide long non-coding RNA. The record is from RefSeq and is a predicted model, not a curated record. Lineage: Eukaryota; Metazoa; Brachiopoda; Lingulata; Lingulida; Lingulidae.